CGCGUAGGCGGGAUGGCAAGUCGGUCGUGAAAUCCUUCGGCUCAACCGAAGAACGUCGGCCGAUACUGCCGUUCUUGAGGGAUGCAGAGGAGAUUGGAAUUCCCGGUGUAGCGGUGAAAUGUGUAGAGAUCGGGAGGAACACCGGUGGCGAAGGCGGGUCUCUGGGCAUCUCCUGACGCUGAGGCGCGAAAGCGUGGGAGCAAACG
RNAcentral lists this ribosomal RNA (206 nucleotides) under uncultured bacterium. RNAcentral describes it as "partial 16S ribosomal RNA". It matches the Rfam family "Bacterial small subunit ribosomal RNA", at positions 568 to 774 of the family's 1533-position model. The record is from RNAcentral.